UUGGACCGCACAGCUAACGGUCUCCCGACACCGACCGCCGCGCUAAACCCGUCCCUGCUCCGAGCUAAACCACAUGUUAGCUCACCAUCUGUCCGAUUUUCAGUAGUCCCGGGAUGGUUCGGGUGUAACCCAUGUUGAGGCAGCCGUCCGAACCGGAUGUCCUGGCGGUGGUCGUGGAGGUCGUGAUGACGGUCGGAUGCCUCUGUCAAUUCACCCGGAUCAACGUAACGACGUCCGAGUCAAAACAAUACAGACCAGGAUGCUCAGCGACACCAGCGGGAGAUUGAAGAACCCCAUGGUCGUCUGGAGGAGGGACCACAUUUGAAGGCACAAACACGAACAAAAACUCCAGGAUCAGAAAUAUUUUUAAUUAUGACGUUUGAUUAUGGCCAGUUGAAAAAAUGCUUCUUCAUUUUUUAAAAAUA
Synchiropus splendidus (mandarinfish) is the source of this 425-nucleotide long non-coding RNA. RefSeq lists it as uncharacterized. Lineage: Eukaryota; Metazoa; Chordata; Actinopteri; Syngnathiformes; Callionymidae. The transcript has 3 exons. The record is from RefSeq and is a predicted model, not a curated record.